UACGGGGGGGGCAAGCGUUGUUCGGAAUUACUGGGCGUAAAGGGCUCGUAGGUGGCCAACUAAGUCAGACGUGAAAUCCCUCGGCUUAACCGGGGAACUGCGUCUGAUACUGGAUGGCUAGAGAUUGGGAGAGGGAUGUGGAAUUCCAGGUGUAGCGGUGAAAUGCGUAGAUAUCUGGAGGAACACCGGUGGCGAAGGCGGCAUCCUGGACCGGUAUUGACGCUGAGGAGCGAAAGCCAGGGGAGCAAACGGG
RNAcentral lists this ribosomal RNA (253 nucleotides) under uncultured bacterium. RNAcentral's name for it is "partial 16S ribosomal RNA". It matches the Rfam family "Bacterial small subunit ribosomal RNA", at positions 524 to 776 of the family's 1533-position model. The record is from RNAcentral.